This 662-nucleotide long non-coding RNA is filed under the name Triticum aestivum (bread wheat). Its description in RNAcentral is "long non-coding RNA (TAES_LNC003077)". Lineage: Eukaryota; Viridiplantae; Streptophyta; Magnoliopsida; Poales; Poaceae. The record is from RNAcentral.
GCGCACACAUGCCUGAUCCAAUCUGCCGCCAUGCCUCCCCACGCACUCCCACGCCGCCGGUGGUACUAUGUCAUCGCGCCCGCGGCGGACCCAAAUUUUCUCUCCUUCUCCUCUGCCAUCGCGUCCGCUCCCCUCCUCAGCCAUCACAUGUGCAGCCGCCUCGUCGUCACGCUCCCUCUUCGACUCCAUCUACUACGAGCUCUGCCAGGUAACCGAGAUACAUCCGUCCCCUCUCCUCUCUCCCUGAAUCGGACUCGACGCGUGCCUCCUCAUGAUUGAUUAUGUGCUGCUCGUUUGGAUCCAAGGAUCCGCCUCGUGAUGGGUUCGUGCGCAGGGAUGCUUCGAUCAAUCUAGCGUUUUUAGAUUUAUUUGUCUCAUGGUUGUUGGUGAAGCAAUCCAAUCUGAAUUUUCAUGAUUGACUUCACAAGAUCCUGUCAUUUGACCUCUAUGAGAUUUAGAUUACGAGACAUUACAGAUGAUCGUACAUGAUAUUCUGUUAUACGUGAAAAUGUCCAGACUAUAAACGGGUUUGUACUUGGUACGCUGGCUACUAUGUCAUUUCUUUAUCUUCUGUUGUUUCAAGAUUAUAUUCUGCUGUGUAGGUGCUGGACUUUGCAUGAUGAUAGCAUCCAAAGUGGGAAAGAACCAAUUCUGAAUUCAGC